CUACGGGCGUCUGCAGUGGGGAAUAUUGGACAAUGGGCGAAAGCCUGAUCCAGCCAUGCCGCGUGUGUGAAGAAGGCCUUCGGGUUGUAAAGCACUUUCAGUGGGGAAGAAAGCCUUGGGGCUAAUACCCUCGAGGAAGGACAUCACCCACAGAAGAAGCACCGGCUAACUCCGUGCCAGCAGCCGCGGUAAUACGGAGGGUGCGAGCGUUAAUCGGAAUUACUGGGCGUAAAGCGCGCGUAGGCGGUCUGAUAAGCCGGUUGUGAAAGCCCCGGGCUCAACCUGGGAACGGCAUCCGGAACUGUCAGGCUAGAGUGCAGGAGAGGAAGGUAGAAUUCCCGGUGUAGCGGUGAAAUGCGUAGAGAUCGGGAGGAAUACCAGUGGCGAAGGCGGCCUUCUGGACUGACACUGACGCUGAGGUGCGAAAGCGUGGGUAGCAAACAGGAUUAGAUACCCGAGUAGUC
This 464-nucleotide ribosomal RNA is filed under the name Vreelandella stevensii. RNAcentral describes it as "partial 16S ribosomal RNA". It matches the Rfam family "Bacterial small subunit ribosomal RNA", at positions 339 to 795 of the family's 1533-position model. Lineage: Bacteria; Pseudomonadati; Pseudomonadota; Gammaproteobacteria; Oceanospirillales; Halomonadaceae. The record is from RNAcentral.